GCAAUACAAGACAUCACAUGGUGGAGAACUUGUCUCUGAAUCGUAAAGACUGAACCUGCUUGCCAACAAAUUUACAAAGUUUCUUGACAAAAAGAAUACACAGAUAGAUCAAGAUGAUAUCAAGAAAAUCAAGAUGGAAGAAGAACUGAUAAUGAUGGCAAAGUCUAAAAUUGUCAAGGCUGAUUUGAAACAUGAGCCAAAAAG
RNAcentral lists this long non-coding RNA (204 nucleotides) under Vigna radiata. Its description in RNAcentral is "long non-coding RNA (VRAD_LNC016658)". The record is from RNAcentral. Lineage: Eukaryota; Viridiplantae; Streptophyta; Magnoliopsida; Fabales; Fabaceae.